CUGGUCUCACCUUUGAGCCUCACAUCCAGCAUGUUGCCAAAUCCUGUAGAUUCCAUCUUAAAAACAUAGCCCGCAUCCGCCCCUUUCUUGCACCAGAUACUACCAAGGAGCUUGUCCAUGCUCUAAUAAUUUCACGCAUGGAUUAUUGUAACUCUCUCCUGCUUGGUCUUCCCAAAAGCCGUACUGCACCCCUACAGUCUGUAAUGAAUGCUGCUGCUAGACUGAUUUUCCUCUCUAGUCGGUUCUCUCUCACCUCACCCCUCUGCCAGUCCUUACAUUGGCUUCCUGUGUGCUAUAGGAGUCAAUUCAAGGCACUAACUCACACCUAUAAAGCACUGAACAACUCUAGCCCCUCUUAUAUCUCCUCACUGAUCCACAGGUAUGUCCCUUCUCGGUCUCUCCGC
Non-coding RNA from Pelobates cultripes (western spadefoot toad), 404 nucleotides. The record is from the annotation of a GenBank genome assembly. Lineage: Eukaryota; Metazoa; Chordata; Amphibia; Anura; Pelobatidae.